UCUGAUCUCAUUGGUCUGGGGAGCAACCUGGGCAUCAGGAUUUUUAAACGAGUAGCAGAGUCUGUGGCCGGGACAGGGUGUGGGGAGGAGGGGCAGGCAGCUCUGGAGGUCUGACAGGAGGAAGUGGCAAUGACAUAGCCUCAGGCAGCCUGAGCUUCCAGGGCAGGAAGCCCAGGGCCCAGGGCACCAGGCUGGCCCAAAGUGGCACUUGGGAAAGAUUGGCUGCAGGCCUGUGGGAGGAAAGGGUGGGCGGGACAGAAGGACGGGACGAGAAGAGAGGCAAAAGCCCAGACGGUGCCGUGGGUUUGAGUCCAUUGUCUGUCGCUAGCUUUCUCUGUGACCUGGGACACAUCGCUUCCCCUCUCUGGGCCUCAGUUUCUCCAUCUGGAAAAGGAGAGGAUUGAAUUUGAUGAUGGCUAAAGAUCCUUCCGGCUCCAGGGUUGGAGGACACCCCAGGCUGGACCUCCUAGUGUGAGAUAAGCCCGCAUGGAGUUUCCGAUCUGCAGAUCUGCAAACAGACCCUGCACUCCAGUCUGGGCAGGGGGCAGGCACAGAGGUUCACGAGCACCCCUCGCCCCUCCCUGGCUCCCCGGCCACUCCAUCAUGCUGCCAGACACGGGUCAUGGAAAUUUCCUCUUAGGCCCUCUAGUCCAGCCCAGGGAAUGUGGUUAUCCUUCCAACUUCAAGUGGAAAUUUCCGCUCUCCCCCUGACAACUAGUGGGAGACACAGUGGAGCUGCAGACAGAGAUCGUGGCAUUGGGGUGGAGGGUGACUCCUGGUUACAGGCCACACAGGGUUCAUCAGGGGGCCAGGCGUCCUCCUUCAAGAAGUAUUUAUGGGGCACCUCACCUACUGUGUGCUGGGCCCUAUUCCAGGUGCCAGGGACACAGGACAGAACAGGACAGGCUCAGUCUCCGGCCUCCGGAAGCAUCUCUCCUAAAGGGGGGAAGAGAACACACAUGAGUACUGCAGAUAAACUGAGGCGUCAUAAGGAAAAGGGCAUGAUGCUGGGGCAGGCAGGUGGGUUUUAGAGAGGGUGAUCAGGGAAGGCCUUGCUGCGGGCGAGGUGACGUUUGUGUGCUUGUCAGGGGGAACAGCAAGUACAAAAGUCCUGAAGCAGGGCCAUGGCUGUCAUGUUGAGGACGCAGUGGGCAGAGGAGAAGGUGAUGAGAUCAGAGAGUUUCCUGCAGCGCCUUCCCAGGGUAAGGACUUUGGAUUUUAGGCUUAGUGCCGUGGGGAGUCCACAGGACAUUUCUGAGCAGAGAGGGGAGAGGAUCUAACUACAUUUUAUUUAUUUAUUUACUUACUUAUUUUACAACCCGAGGAUGGUGUUCAUUUCAGUAUUGGGCAGAUUUCUUCUCAAAAGCUGCUCCAGUUUCAGGAGGCCAGCGUAAGCGUAUAUAUUUUGCCAGGGUAAAGUUAUACUUGUGAAUGAACUCAUGCAACAGACAUUCUGCAGUUGCAUCAUUGGAGGCAUUUGUAGCGGACAGUCAGAGGGCCUGACCCGUCCCCCUGCUGCUUGCUGAUCCACAUCUGCUGGAAGGCGGAGAGAGCAGCCUGCAAGGAAGCCACCGCUCCGGAUUUUUAGUGCCUAAGGAGAAACUGUCUUCAUUGGCCGUGAUUUCUCCCUGCGUUCUGUUGGCCCCCCUGCAAUGCUGUGUGGGCACACAGAUCCUUUCAGAGGUCAAUCGCACACUUCAGAACCGAGUUAAAAGUGGUUUCAUGAAUGUCACAGGACGCCAAGCCCAGGAACGAGGGCUGGAGGAGACGCUCUGGACAUCUGGACCUCUCAUGGCCAAGGACAACCUCCUGACCAUCAGAAGCUCACAGCCCUUCUCCGGGGAGGAAGCGGAGGACACAGCGGGGGCCAUCUCCUGCUCCAGGUCCAGGGUGAUGCAGCAGAGCUUUCCCUCCGCGUCACACACCAGUCCCUCUCAGCUGUGGUAGCGAGGCUGUAACCUCUUUCCGUCAGGCUCUCCUCCAGGAGGUCAUCUCCCAAGUCACGCUCAUUGCAGAUGGGUAACAGUCUGUGGAUUGGCCGUGGUCUGAGGACACCUCUUUGAUAGCAUCGAUUCAGGCUGUUGAGAGGUGGAUGCUGGCGUUGCAGAACCUCUCAGAUUGCCAGAAGGAACAAGGCUCCUGCAUCCCUGUUCCCCUAAGCAGGUACUUCUGGACACCAAGUCAAUUAACCUCAAGAUGUCCCAGGCCAGGCGCGCUGCGCUGACUUACGGCUGGAUCCCUCCUUCCAUCCCAGUCUGUCUCCCAGGACCUUCAGGAUGUACAUUGUUAUUAAAGUGUCCCCGCCAGUGGCCCCUGAUAAGCAUACAGAGCUGUGGGGUCGGGGUUGGAGUGGGGCGACCUGGGAGAGAGAAGUAUGUACAGGUAGAGGCCCGCCUUCUUUGAUUCCAACUCUAUACAAAACUUGGCCCAAGCAUCACCUCCUGCAGAAAGUCAUCCCGGGCCUGCAGCCAGACUGAGGGCCCCCGCCUGCGCUGCUGCAUCACAGAACAGGUCUCCCUGCAUUCACAUGGAACAGUUGACAUAGUAAAUUCGAAGGUGGUGCCAGCGCCUCUGGGGGUUGGAUGUGGUGUCACCUGCCUUGGUUCGAGGGUUUGACCAGAUUUCAGGGCUUGUCUGGGUGCCCCUGCGCAGGGUACAGUCUGUACAACUCUGAGCAGUGGCCCAGGUAGUUGGAGCUCCGGGCCCAUCUCUGGCAGACUUCAGGGGACUGGGGAGCAGGAAUUGUGUCUGGGACGUUGCAUCUUGAGUACAGAGGUCUCCGCCUGGUUGAGCAACAGAAAACACUGGCUUAAAAAAAUGUAGACACUCUGGCUCCAAUUUUAGGAAUUCUACCUCCAGAGGUCUGACAAGGGUCCUGAGUCUCGAAAACUUUUUUUUUUUUUGAAGAUGAUUAGCCCUGAGCUAACUGCUGCCAAUCCUCCUAUUUUUUGCUGAAGAAGACUGACCCUGCCUGAGCUAACAUCUGUGCCCAUCUUCCUCUACUUUCUAUGUGGGACGCCUGCCCAGCAUGGCUUGCCAAGCGGUGCCAUGUCCACAUCCGGGAUCUGGGCUGGCGAACCCCGGGCCGCCAGGAAGUAGAAUGUGCGCACUUAACCGCUGCACCACCGGGCUGGCCCCUUGACAUUUUGAAAAAGUGCCAUGUGACUCUGAUGCCCAGCUGCUGUCUGACCCAUAAGAGGUGUCUGGUGACUGUGCUCAUAGAAGUGCAGCACAUCUGUGGAGGGACACACAGGGAUCUGUGGCCUGCGGGGAGGGGAGCUGGGGGACACCAGAGGAAGAUGAGUCACUUUUUGUUAUACAUCUUUUUGUACUGAUUGGACUUUUAACCUAAAAAAAAUGUUUGACCAACUGAUGUUGUUGCUGUCAUCUAUGUGAGGGACCGCCAACUCUAGGCCUGCGGCUGGGGCCUGCAGUCCGGUGAAGGACAGGAGCAGGCCAGAGGAACGGAGAGCUGCAGAGCGCGUGUCCCACCUCAAGGGGGCAGCAGCCGCCCAGAGCCUGCUGACUGUGUCUGGGUGGGACUGAGCGCAGCGCUGCCAGAUCUUCCUACUUUUUCCAGAUAAGCCUGAAACCACAUUUUCAAGUAGAAUUAAUUGUCAACUAAUUCGAAAAUGUAGAACACAGCAUGGGCCGAACACAACACGUCUGCGAACCAAUUCUGGCUGCGGGCCACCAGUCCGUGCUGGCGGGUCUAGCAGGACGCUGUCAAGGACUGGGCACCUUGGAGGCCAAUCUGCAAAGCCAGGGCAGACCCAUCCUUCGCUUCUAGGAAAUCGAGUUCACUUCCCAUGGGGGUCCACACAGGACGAGGACAAAGCAGGUGCCCCAAGGCCCACAGGGGUCACCCGCCCACUCAAAAUGAUCUAAUUCCACACAUAUUUAUUAACCUCCCCUCGUGUGCCAGGCUGAGUGCUGGAGGUGGUGAAUGUGGUGAAUGUGACAGUCACAGUCCCUGGUCUCUAGGUGGGGAGACACACUUGAAAGAUAGUUGCAUAAUAAUUACAUUUGCGACAUGAGGAGCUGCAGUAUAGCAUGGGGAUCCUAAGUUUGAGUUUGAUUCCUGAUUUCACCACUUGCUAAUUAUGUCACUUUGGG
RNAcentral lists this long non-coding RNA (4116 nucleotides) under Equus asinus (donkey). RNAcentral's name for it is "lncRNA (ENSEASG00005026139.1)". The record is from RNAcentral. Lineage: Eukaryota; Metazoa; Chordata; Mammalia; Perissodactyla; Equidae.